Molecule: non-coding RNA, 30 nt
Filed under: Mus musculus (house mouse)
Lineage: Eukaryota; Metazoa; Chordata; Mammalia; Rodentia; Muridae
Source: RNAcentral
UGACAGUUUGAAGGAUAGCUGCUUCUUCUG